AGUGAACGCUGGCGGUAGGCCUAACACAUGCAAGUCGAACGGCAGCACAGUAAGAGCUUGCUCUUACGGGUGGCGAGUGGCGGACGGGUGAGGAAUACAUCGGAAUCUACUCUUUCGUGGGGGAUAACGUAGGGAAACUUACGCUAAUACCGCAUACGACCUACGGGUGUAAGCAGUGGUUCUUCGGACCUUGCGCGACUGAAUGAGCCGAUGUCGUAUUAGCUAGUUGGCGGGGUAAAGGCCCACCAAGGCAACGAUCCGUAGCUGGUCUGACAGGAUGUACCGCCACGCUAGAACUGCGACACGGUCCAGACUACUAGAGACGGCAGCAGUACGGAAUACUGGAGAAUGGGUGCAAGCGUGAUCCAGCCAUACCGCGUGAGUGAAGAAGGCCUUCGGGUUGUGAAGACAUUUUGUUGGGAAAGAAAAGCAGCAGGUUAAUACCCCGCUGUUCUGACGGUACCCAAAGAAUAAGCGCCGGCUAACUUCGUG
This 492-nucleotide ribosomal RNA is filed under the name uncultured bacterium. Its description in RNAcentral is "partial 16S ribosomal RNA". It matches the Rfam family "Bacterial small subunit ribosomal RNA", at positions 29 to 507 of the family's 1533-position model. The record is from RNAcentral.